This 200-nucleotide unclassified non-coding RNA is filed under the name soil metagenome. RNAcentral's name for it is "partial contains internal transcribed spacer 2 and large subunit ribosomal RNA". The record is from RNAcentral.
GAGCGUCAUUUGUACCCUCAAGCUAUGCUUGGUGUUGGGUGAUUGUCUACUUACUUGGGUAGACUCGCCUCAAAUUCAUUGGCAGCUGGUAUUCUGGUUUUAAGCGUAGCACAAUUACGUUUUACUCUGGGGAGCCCGCGUCCACGAAGCACAUUAUCACGUUUGACCUCGGAUCAGGUAGGGAUACCCGCUGAACUUAA